AGUGAACGCUGGCGGUAGGCCUAACACAUGCAAGUCGAACGGCAGCACAGUAAGAGCUUGCUCUUACGGGUGGCGAGUGGCGGACGGGUGAGGAAUACAUCGGAAUCUACUUUUUCGUGGGGAUAACGUAGGGAAACUUACGCUAAUACCGCAUACGACCUACGGGUGAAAGCAGGGGAUCUUCGGACCUUGCGCGAUUGAAUGAGCCGAUGUCGGAUUAGCUAGUUGGCGGGGUAAAGGCCCACCAAGGCGACGAUCCGUAGCUGGUCUGAGAGGAUGAUCAGCCACACUGGAACUGAGACACGGUCCAGACUCCUACGGGAGGCAGCAGUGGGGAAUAUUGGACAAUGGGCGCAAGCCUGAUCCAGCCAUACCGCGUGGGUGAAGAAGGCCUUCGGGUUGUAAAGCCCUUUUGUUGGGAAAGAAAAGCAGCAGGUUAACACCCCGCUGUUCUGACGGUACCCAAAGAAUAAGCACCGGCUAACUUCGUG
This 491-nucleotide ribosomal RNA is filed under the name uncultured bacterium. RNAcentral's name for it is "partial 16S ribosomal RNA". It matches the Rfam family "Bacterial small subunit ribosomal RNA", at positions 29 to 507 of the family's 1533-position model. The record is from RNAcentral.